UCUCGAGCUCCAUUCACACUCCACAUAAAUAAACACGAGUUUCUUCCUCUCUCCGUCGCAUGAGCUGCUUCUUCUCUCCAUCGCACGAGCUUCUUCCGCCGCUGCUCACGUCGCAUGAUAUCUAUCUGUCAUCCCUUGUACCGCACGAGCUUCCUUUGUUGCCGCUCUCGUCGCGUCUGCUCCCUCCAUCGCCAUCGUUAUAGAGCUCUCUUCGCCACCGCUCUCAUCUCCUUUCGUGAAUUUUAGUUGUAGUGAUGAAAGAGGUUCAUCUUCACAUGCUGGUAUCUCGAAACUGAUGACAGAGAUUUCAUUGCUCCUUGCAAAUGGUAAGGUACAUCAAAAUAUGUACAUCAAGAGUGUUUGGAUCACUGGCGUGCGGUUAAGGUAUGGAUGCUGUCUAUAUUUUAGUUUCAACGGUUUGUAUACUAUCACAAUAUCAAUCUAUAUACUGUUUGCAUAGGGUAUCAACUAUGUAGUUCAUAAGUGAUGAAUAUGAUUACUAGUUAAAGGUUUCCAACUUAUAUGUGACGAGUAAAUGCCAAUUUUGUUGAUGUUUGGGCAGAACAAAAGAGCAUUGAGUGUGAUCAAUCAAAAUCUAGUGUAAGGUCGACAUUAUCCUUGUGUUGUUAACAAGAGACCUUUGUCAUUAUCAACUAAUCUUAUUUUACUUUACUUUUUGUUUUGGAUAGAAAUAUUAAUUCCAUAUGACUUCUAAGAUAAUUAUGUUAAAAUCUUAAAUGCCUUCAACUAGGUGAAUAUAUUUGUGAUUAGAUUUUAUAUUGAUGUUGUGUCAAAUGUUAAAAUUUUAUUUUUAAGUAAUUUUGAUGCUUUUAUGUUACCUUGCUUUUGAUGGAACUAAUUUGUUUCACAUGCUUCUUUAUUUAUUUAUUUUUUUCAUUUCUUUGAAUUUAAAAGUUUAAUUUGGAAGUCUAGUAGCAGAAGAAGGAAAGAUGGAGAAGAGGAGCAGGACAACGAUAUAUGUGCACGUCAUUUCAUAAGAAAUUCUAUGUUUGAUAUCUUAUUUCUAUAUCAACGAUGUAUGUUUAAUAUCUUAUUUCUAUAUUCCAUGAAGUUUCUAUACUUUGAAAAGUCCUUUCUUUUUGUUCUAAAUUAUGUAGGAUCGGUUCCUUGACAAAGGCCACUUGAUAUAUCUUUUAUAAAUACCAUUUAUAGAUUUGAAGUUUGAUACUUUAAAAUUUCUUUUCAUUGUUAUCUCCACACAAUUGUGAUAAUUUGAUUAUAAAAGCAAGCUUUUUUGUGAUAAAGAUACAUGCCUAUGUCUCUUGUUUUGAAGGCUUCCGCUUCUAAGUUUGUCAAGCUUUGAAAACUCCAACACUCAAAUUCUGGUAAUAUGAGUUAUUAUGCUAGGACUAAGUUUGUUGAUCAUAGUGUACCUGUAAUUUUACUUAUUCUUUUUUUGGGGUAGGGAUUGUCGAGGUAACUUUGGAUAGGGCUAAAAAUAAGAAUGUUAUAGACACCAAAUUAAUGAGAGGGUUAAUUAAAGCAUGCAUUAGAGGUGAUUAAUCAAGAUUCUUCCACUAAUGUUGCCAUCAUCACCAAUUCAAUUCCUGGUGUCUAUUGUGCUGGUGCCGAUUUAAAGGUAUAAUAAAUAAAUAUAUAUCACCUUUGCAUUUUGAAAUUAAAUUCAUCCAGAUAUUAUGUUAUUAUUGACUUAUAUGAAUGCAAGGCAUUUACUACAUCUGAGGUUCGGGAAUAUUCAAAAGCUCUUCAUGCAACUUUCUCAUUUCUUGAGGCAUAUGAUAUACAUUUGUGUGUUUCGUUUUGAAUCUUGUAUUCAUGGGCAGAGCCACGUGGUAGGAAAAGUGGGCAAUGGCCCCCUAAUUUUAAUUUUUUACAUGUAAAUUAUAUGCAAAUUUCAGUUUAGCCCCCCUUAAAAUUUUAUUUUAGUCUUAUUUUAUUGUAUAAAUAUUUUUAUCCUGCACAUCACAUAUUUUUGUUGCUAUUGUUUAUUGAAUCAAAACAUUUGGUUGUAUGGUGCUCAAUAUUUUCUGUUUUUCUUAAGGUUUUAAAACCUGCAUCAAUUUGUUGAAAUUACCAUGAUGUAAUAACAUGCUUUAUAUCAUUGUCUUGUAUUUGAUAUUGUGAUCACAAGCAAUCUAUAAAACCUGAAUCUCUUUUCCAAUGUUAUUCCUGGAAAAUCACAACUAGUGAAGGUGGAUAUUGUCUACAUGAGUUACUGAUAGAUCAAAAAAGUGUUCUUAGUAGUAUGUUCCUUUAAACUCUUUUUUUCUUGUAGCGUACACUUUCUAGCACAACUUCUAAGGGAAUUUCAUGUUUUAGAGAAAGCUAAAGUGGAUGCAUAUUUUCUCCAUAGUCUAUUUAGAAUAAGAUGCUUGGGUAUCUGUUCAUUUGUUUGCUAAUCUGGACUUACAUGCCCUUCAAAUACUAAUUGAUAUAUGUAAGUAUUAUUUCAGAGAAGUUUUCUGUACUGUAUUUGUGGCCUUCAUAUCUGGUUGACCCUGUUUAAUUUUUUUUCAAUCUUCAAGUAAUGCUUGGGUCUGGAAAUCUCGUACACUUUGAUUCCUUUGAUAUCCGCUAUAUUAGUAGAAACCUCUUAAAUUUCAACUUAUGUAUUUUCGUUGUCUUUUAACAUUUGAUAUCUGUUCUACUUUUUAAAUACAGUUGUAGAUUUGCUAACUCAUGCUUUUAAAUUGAACAGAAAUUAAUUUAUCUCAUGUAGCACUAGUAUAUUUUAUCAAUGAAGAGAGUGAGCCGCCAUUCUUCACUCGCUUCUUUAAAUGGGAUUCUUGAAAAUUUGCAAUGUUGGGAAAUUCAUUUCAGAGGAAGCUUAGAAUAGUGAAAAUGGGGGUGCUCCACUUCUGGAUGUAAGGUUUAAAAUUCCAUCAGGAUUCGUCACAAGAAAGUGGUUUCCUUUGACAAUUUUAUGAGGCACUGUGGUUUGCUUGCUAAUGAACCCAUUUUUGAUGUUGGGUUGAGUCAUUUUGAUGUGAAUAAUGAUGAUGAUGAUGAUAGUGCAUUAUCAAAAAAUGGCAUCUUGAUCAACAAGAAGAAUUUGUAUGAUUCAGACACUCUUUUGUGAUGUAUUCUUUACUCAAAUUAGCAUACUUUGUCAAUUAA
Molecule: non-coding RNA, 3099 nt
Organism: Arachis ipaensis
Lineage: Eukaryota; Viridiplantae; Streptophyta; Magnoliopsida; Fabales; Fabaceae
Source: RefSeq, a predicted model, not a curated record